Molecule: ribosomal RNA, 233 nt
Filed under: uncultured bacterium
Lineage: Bacteria
Description: partial 16S ribosomal RNA
Rfam family: Bacterial small subunit ribosomal RNA
Source: RNAcentral
UGAGUAACCUGCCCUUGACUCUGGAAUAACAGUUGGAAACAGCUGCUAAUACCGGAUACGUCCUCCGACGGCAUCAUCUGGAGGUGGAAAGCUCCGACGGUCAAGGAUGGGCUCGCGGCCUAUCAGCUUGUUGGUGAGGUAACGGCUCACCAAGGCUUCGACGGGUAGCCGGCCUGAGAGGGCGACCGGCCACACUGGGACUGAGAUACGGCCCAGACUCCUACGGGAGGNAG